GACGAACGCUGGCGGCGUGCUUAACACAGGCAAGGGGUGCGACAACCCAGGCUCCGGCCUGGGGCGAAGCCCGGACCGGGUGAGUAACACUUGGCCAACCUGCCCGUCCGUCCGGACAAACCCGGGGAAACCCGGGCAAAUACCGAUUGUGGUGCGGGCGCAUGAGGGCGGGUAGGAAAAAAAGCUCCGGCCUCCGCGCAGGGUGGAGCCCGCGGCCCAUUAGCUUGUUGGUGGGGUAAUGGCCUACCAAGGCAACGAUGGGUAGCUGGUCUGAGAGGACGAUCAGCCACACUGGGACUGAGACACGGCCCAGACUCCUACGGGAGGCUGCAGUGGGGAAUCUUGCGCAAUGAGCGACAGCUUGACGCAGCAACGCCGCGUGGGGGAAGAAGGCUUUCGGGUCGUAAACCCCUUUCAGUUAGGACGAAGCUUUUUUGGUUAAUAGCCAAACGGAGUGACGGUACUUUCAGAAGAAGCCCCGGCUAACUACGUGCCAGCCGCCGCGGUAA
RNAcentral lists this ribosomal RNA (509 nucleotides) under uncultured bacterium. RNAcentral's name for it is "partial 16S ribosomal RNA". It matches the Rfam family "Bacterial small subunit ribosomal RNA", at positions 28 to 523 of the family's 1533-position model. The record is from RNAcentral.